CCGAGCUCAGAUCAGCGUGGGGCGGAGGAGAAGUGGGAUUUGGAAGCUCAGGGGCACAGGGGCCCAGGGGCACAGGCCCACGACUGCAGUGGGAUGGACCAGUACUGCAUCCUGGGCCGCAUCGGGGAGGGCGCCCACGGCAUCGUCUUCAAGGCCAAGCACGUGGAGACUGGCGAGAUAGUUGCCCUCAAGAAGGUGGCCCUAAGGCGGUUGGAGGACGGCAUCCCUAACCAGGCCCUGCGGGAGAUUAAGGCUCUGCAGGAGAUGGAGGACAAUCAGUAUGUGGUGCAACUGAAGGCUGUGUUCCCACAUAGUGCAGGCUUUGUGCUGGCCUUUGAGUUCAUGCUGUCGGAUCUGGCCGAGGUGGUGCGCCAUGCCCAGAGGCCACUAGCCCAGGCACAGGUCAAGAGCUACCUGCAGAUGCUGCUCAAGGGCGUCUCCUUCUGCCAUGCCAACAACAUUGUACAUCGGGUCAGUCUCAGCAUAGGCCAGGCAUGGGGUCUGGGGAGCUGACUUGGCUUGGGGAUGGGGCUAGCCCUUGUAGAACGUGUGAUAAGAAGUUGGGACAGAGCUGGUCAAGGCCUCCAGGUAGGUGGCCAAGGCAUGGCCCUGGAGGAGGUGGGGACUGGGGCUGACCUGGGUGGUUAGACUGCCAAGCCCGCUUGUCCCAAGGUCUUAUGGGGGAUUUGGAGGGACUGAUGCUUCUUUUGGUACUCCCAGGACCUGAAACCUGCCAACCUACUCAUCAGCGCCUCAGGCCAGCUCAAGAUAGCGGACUUUGGCCUGGCUCGAGUGUUUUCCCCAGACGGCAGCCGCCUCUACACACACCAGGUGGCCACCAGGUAGGGCGGGCCAGAUCCCUUCCAGUCCUCUCCAUGGGGAAGAGAUGCUUCUGGGCCUUUUCUCCAGACAUUGCUUGUGGAGCUGGGGUCACCUCCCCAGGCAUCCUUUUCUCAGCCCAGUGCCUACCAGCCCUCUUCCUUGCAGGUGGUACCGAGCCCCCGAGCUCCUGUAUGGUGCCCGCCAGUAUGACCAGGGCGUCGAUCUGUGGUGAGACCCCAGCGGGUGGUCAAAGGGUAACAUGGCUCAUGGAUUUCUGCUAGGCUCUGAGGUCUCUGAGCUGUUUGGUGGUGUUUUCCCUGGUGGGAGUUUAGGCUUCCUUGAGGGUGUCUUCCCCA
Molecule: small RNA, 1178 nt
Filed under: Pongo abelii (Sumatran orangutan)
Lineage: Eukaryota; Metazoa; Chordata; Mammalia; Primates; Hominidae
Description: retained intron
Source: RNAcentral